AAAUGAAUAGACGGGGGCCCGCACAAGCAGUGGAGCAUGUGGUUUAAUUCGAAGCAACGCGAAGAACCUUACCAGCCCUUGACAUCCCGGUCGCGACUUUCAGAGAUGAUCGUCUUCAGUUCGGCUGGACCGGUGACAGGUGCUGCAUGGCUGUCGUCAGCUCGUGUCGUGAGAUGUUGGGUUAAGUCCCGCAACGAGCGCAACCCUCGCCCCUAGUUGCCAUCAUUCAGUUGGGCACUCUAUGGGGACUGCCGGUGAUAAGCCGGAGGAAGGUGGGGAUGACGUCAAGUCUUCAUGGCCCUUACGGGCUGGGCUACACACGUGCUACAAUGGCGGUGACAGAGGGCAGCUACACAGCGAUGUGAUGCUAAUCCCUAAAAGCCGUCUCAGUUCGGAUUGCACUCUGCAACUCGAGUGCAUGAAGUCGGAAUUGCUAGUAAUCGUAGAUCAGCACGCUACGGUGAAUACGUUCCCGGGCCUUGUACACACCGCCCGU
This 496-nucleotide ribosomal RNA is filed under the name uncultured bacterium. RNAcentral's name for it is "bacterial SSU rRNA". It matches the Rfam family "Bacterial small subunit ribosomal RNA", at positions 903 to 1397 of the family's 1533-position model. The record is from RNAcentral.